RNAcentral lists this long non-coding RNA (2542 nucleotides) under Homo sapiens (human). RNAcentral's name for it is "HSALNT0393752". The record is from RNAcentral. Lineage: Eukaryota; Metazoa; Chordata; Mammalia; Primates; Hominidae.
CAUAUGCUUUGUUCAGUGAUUGGUUAUUUUAGGCAGGCAGGUAAAUAUGACUCUAGUUACUUCAUUUUGGCUGGAUGUGGAUGUCUCAUUCGAUUUCGUUUACUUUCAGUAGUACUUUUAAAAACAUUUCCUGGUUUCCAACAGUUACAGUUACCCAAGAGUUUCCAACAGUUACAGUUACAGAAACUGGUGAUAUGGCUGUGUGGGGCCCCAGUGUGUGAGUUCCUUACAACUUCAGCUACUUGAAGUUAGUAAUAGGCCCAGUUUAACAGGGUUCCAGUCUGUCUGGGGAAAUAAAUUCAAGCUGUUACAACUUAAUACAUCAAUUGCCAUGGUGGAAGUAUGAAAAAACAAUGCCUGGAUAUAUAGAAGCAGGAAGAAUAUUCUCUCUUUUAUGAGAUAAGAGAGUUGAAGGUGGCUAUGCCUGCUGCCGAAGAGAGAACCCUGAGUCACAAGUACACAAAUGAAAUGCGAUUGUCUUCGUGGGUUGCAUCGUAUGAUUUGGAGCAAGUCUUCAGGUCUAAUAUAAAGAUCUUUCAAAUAAAUCAUCCAGCUAAGCUUCUGUGGCCCCAAACUCCUAAUUUAAAAAUGUUGAUAAAUGAAGUACCUCUUUAGUUAAUAAAUGAAGUAUCUCUUUAGUUAUCCUUUGUCAGCAACAUUCAUUUUAAUGGAAAGUGAGUUUACAGGGUUACAUGAUUGAACUACUGAGCCAAGUCAGUGUUGGCAAAUGAUGGGCUAAAUUAUUGAUGCUACACACUAAUGAAUUCUGAUGAGAAAUAAAACACAGACAUUACGUUUGAAGUGGUUCAUAAUUAUUUUUGUACUUUAAAAGCAAUUUUAUUCUUUUUCCAAAUCAUACUGGUUCUGUAAAACAAAAACAUAGUUAGUGAUUAUACUAAAAUUAUUGAGUUUGUGGCAAAAAAUGCUCUUGCAAGUUUUCAUUUCUGUGAAGAUAAUGUUAUUCACACUAGGUUUCUGAUUUCCUUAUAUACUUCUGGGAAAAGAUAAUUAAAUUAAAUGUCUAAAUUUUAAAACCAGUGUCUUUAAAUAAGAUAAUCUGCUUUGUAACCAUGGUUAGCAUUCCAAUAGAUGUGUUUAUAAGCUAUGAUAUGUCUAUCAACACAUUUACUGGAGCUGUGUUGAAAUACCAUAAUUAGUUCAAGUAAUGUCAAGUACAGAGGGACUUCCAGCAGGUUUGUUUUGGUAAAGAGCUUAUGUUUAAACGUGUAGCAGAGAAUGCAAUGUGUACUGUAAAGUGAUAGAUGUUUGACGAAGUCAGGGCCUGAUGGCAAUAAUUGAAGCAGGUUCAAACCCUACUAAGGUACAUAGAAGUCUAUACAUUCUGUAGUGUAAUGACAAUGUCCUUUGAGCUUUCCUGACUUAACUGUCCCAGCCUGAGACUUUAAUUCUGCAAGCUUGCUGCCUUCCUUUUUGGUUAAGGGUUGAUUUAUAGUGGAGUCACUCAAACAAGGGCUCAAACUGAAGUGACCACAGGCUGAUUUUUAACUAAGAGGGAUUGUUCACUAAGAGGCAUUAAGGGUGGAACUCACAGUUGUCAAGGUGUUAGUCCACAGAUUCAUCACUUUCUGGUUAUGAGUCUCUGGACCCGUAACUCAGCUCUCUACAAUUCAGUUACCAAAUCCCCCAAAUGUGGUAACAAGUUCUCCCAUCCUAUCUGAGAGGUUUGUUACAAUUAUCAAGUCAGAUAUUGAUGAAACUGAAACCUGUUAAGUGAAUGUAAGGUAAAUUUAUGUCUUAUAUUUGACUGGAUUCUAGUUGGUUUUGUCAAGAUCAUAAGCACUCAUUUGGAAAAUAUUCCCUUUGCCAACUGAGGGAUCUGCAGGGGAAAGGAAUGAGAAGAGUUUUCAAGUCAAGGUUUGGUCAUGUUAGAUGAUUUUCUCCUAUUGAUAAUAUGUGCAGUUUCUUACAUGAAUGAAAAUCCAAAGGUUAAGCCUCCUAUGUUUAAGAACCUAUGAGACUCUGUUGGAUUGAGGUAGGAUACAUAGUGCAUUGAACUUUAGUUCUCAUUUGGUGUACACUUUCUAUGAAACAAAAAUAAAAACUGAGUCUGGUUCAUUUUAACUCUAUAACAUGCCAUUCUCACAUUGUUUUACUGAGUCCCUUUCUCCAUUUUCAUAAUUUUCUCUUUGUCUAUGGUCUAUGAUAGACUUGGCACCAUUUAUGAGAACAAGGCUGCUUCAAGUUUUCAUCUUUUUUGAGUUUUCUUUUAAAAAUGUAUCCUAAUUUUUUUUCUCUUGUUAUAACUGCACUGUUCAUUGUUUUAUGAUCUUGAUACUUUUGGAUGAAAAAUCAUGUGCCUGAGUUAAUCUCACAUCAAAGCAGCAUCAUUAUAUAAUGAUGAUGCUAAGUUGUAUGAAAAAUACCUACUGGAUAUGCUCCAUUAGUCACUAAUUUUCAAACGAAAAGUUCUGUCUUUGAAAAACUCCUCUCCCCCACACCAUUGACAUGGCUCUUCCACUUGAAAAAUGUCCUGCUGGCAUAGAGUGAAUUAAAAAAAAAUAAAAAUGCUGGAGUCUUUUGU